This 1372-nucleotide long non-coding RNA is filed under the name Panax ginseng (ginseng). RNAcentral describes it as "long non-coding RNA (PGIN_LNC012006)". Lineage: Eukaryota; Viridiplantae; Streptophyta; Magnoliopsida; Apiales; Araliaceae. The record is from RNAcentral.
AAAAUUGGCCCUAUAGCGACAGAACCGUCGCUAUAGGUGUUCUUGAGCUUGUUCUUGAGCUUCAUGUCAGUGUGUAGGGUAGGUGGUUUGACCACCUAUAAAUCUUAGAUUCUUAAGUUUCUGGGCUGCUUGAUGUUAUAAACAUAUACUAUUAACGUAGUACUACAAUAAAAAACUAAGUUCAGAUCCAUACAACAAUAAAUCAGAGAGAUCAAAGCCUCCAAACAUUCUGACAACACUGUUCUUCAUUUUUGGGUUUUCCAGAAAAUGAAGAACAGCCGAAGGUGCUAGAUCUAGAUCCUUAUAACUUACGCUACCGGUUUGAUUUAUGAGAUUUAAAGAUUCACACUUGUAGUUGAGAUGUCAAAGAACAUCUCUAUAUAAUCAGAUUAGUCUAAAAACAACACCAAAUGAAGAUUUCAUCCGGUCAAACUACCUGUCAGAAAACGCCCUUUGAAGAUCUGGGUUACCCAGAAUCUUCUUCCGACAUGAUGGUCAACGCUCGUUUGACCCUGAUUUAAUCCGAUUUCGGGUAUGAUCUGGGAGUUCUAGACGCAGGAAUGGGUAGCCUACAUGUCAGUCUACAAAAAUAUAACAACAACAUGGCCAAACGUAUUAACAGUAGCAAGAUCCAUGACCUUGAAAAGCUUGUCCGAAAUUCUGGGAAAUUUCGGGGUUGCCCAGAAACAGAGUUCGUGAUCGGUCAACGAGCUUUGACCGAGUAUAACUGAAGAUCUAGGCUUGAUCUGACCCUGUAUCCAGUUUCAUAUCAAAGCCUACAUGGCAUACUACACAUACAAAACAUAAAACACACUAAACAUCUUACACAGAAAAAUCUAGAGGCCCUAACAUUAGGCUGUCAGGCCUUAUUUUUUAACUUUUCUAGAUUUCUUAAAAUGCUAUUCUCGAGCAAUUUGAUGUUAUGGAUCUGUGUUCUAGCAACCCAGAUCACUAAAAAACACCUUCUAACACAACUUUAAACAAUAGAUCAUAACAUCUAACAUCAAGUCUAUGAAUUUCGAAAAUUAGGGUUUAUACCUCCUUUAAUGCUUUGAUCUUUGAAUCUGUUAUUGGAAGGCUAAGAAUUGAUCCUAUCUUUGAUUCUCACACUCUCUCUCUCUCUCUCUCUAAGUUUCAAAAAUGAAGAGAGAGAAUGGGCUUGGAGAAAUGAAAAAGUAAAGUAAGUUUUUUCUCUUCUCUAAUCUAUACAUAUGUUUUGAUUCAAUGCAUUUAGCUAGCAAAUGAAGGUUGAUAUGUGUAAUAUUAGUCACAUGCUAGGUUCGGGUUGGUGAGCAAAUCACCUUAGGUCUAGAUCUACAAGCAACAUACUAAAAUAAUGCACAAAGGGUAAAAUAGUCAUUUUGAUUUUAAU